This 235-nucleotide long non-coding RNA is filed under the name Elaeis guineensis (African oil palm). RNAcentral's name for it is "long non-coding RNA (EGUI_LNC010860)". Lineage: Eukaryota; Viridiplantae; Streptophyta; Magnoliopsida; Arecales; Arecaceae. The record is from RNAcentral.
UGGCCGUGGACACCUUCUGCUUCUCCUUCAAGUUCAUCAGGAGGUUCUACUCCCAGAGUUUCUUGGCAACGACAGUUAGACGGCUAUGAACGCAAGUUCUAAAAAAUUGACCGUCCACUUGCCCGACUUCAGGUGGAAGGACGGAAGUCCUCUAUUGACUACGACUUCCACACCGUCCAGCCUCUCUCUCAGCACAUCUUGGACAAACCGAUCUCAUCUCGAUUCAAGAUGCCAC